RNAcentral lists this ribosomal RNA (497 nucleotides) under uncultured bacterium. RNAcentral's name for it is "partial 16S ribosomal RNA". It matches the Rfam family "Bacterial small subunit ribosomal RNA", at positions 28 to 507 of the family's 1533-position model. The record is from RNAcentral.
GAUGAACGCUGGCGGCGUGCCUAAUACAUGCAAGUCGAGCGAACGGACGAGAAGCUUGCUUCUCUGAUGUUAGCGGCGGACGGGUGAGUAACACGUGGAUAACCUACCUAUAAGACUGGGAUAACUUCGGGAAACCGGAGCUAAUACCGGAUAAUAUUUUGCACCGCAUGGUUCAAAAGUGAAAGACGGUCUUGCUGUCACUUAUAGAUGGAUCCGCGCUGCAUUAGCUAGUUGGUAAGGUAACGGCUUACCAAGGCAACGAUGCAUAGCCGACCUGAGAGGGUGGUCGGCCGCACUGGAACUGAGACACGGUCCAUACUCCUACGGGAGGCAGCAGUAGGGAAUCGUCCGCAAUGGGCGAAAGCCUGACGGAGCAACGCCGCGUGAGUGAUGAAGGUCUUCGGAUCGUAAAACUCUGUUAUUAGGGAAGAACAUGUGUGUAAGUAACUGUGCACAUCUUGACGGUACCUAAGCAGAAAGCCACGGCUAACUACGUG